CCCCGGAAAUAAGAGGCCCAGCCCAGCCCACAGCAGUUUUCCAGAUCUCGCUGGGUCUAAGAGGCCAACAAACUCCACCCCAUUCCCUUCUGGGCACCUCGUGGCCCAGGCGGGUUUGUUUAUGAAUCCACCGUCCUCCUCCCCCAGCCCGGCACUCGGGCCUCCAGGCCUCAAAUCACCUCUGCUUUUAUUUGCUAAAGGAUCUCCAAGCUCCAGAGACCAUCAGCAAGGGCCCUAAAAAGACAGGAAUGUGUAUGAUGAUUCAUUCGGCUUCUACAGACACCAUAGCAUGGGGAAAUUACUUUAGACUGCAUGUGUGAAAAACCUAGGCUUGCCAGGCAGCGAUGGCUCAGU
Long non-coding RNA from Myotis brandtii (Brandt's bat), 354 nucleotides. RefSeq lists it as uncharacterized. The record is from RefSeq and is a predicted model, not a curated record. NCBI's taxonomy places the organism in Eukaryota, Metazoa, Chordata, Mammalia, Chiroptera, Vespertilionidae. The transcript is spliced from 3 exons.